CACGCAGGCGGUCAUACAAGUCAGCUGUUAAAUGCAUGGGCUUAACCGAUGCAUGCGGUUGAAACUGUAUGGCUAGAGUACUGGAGAGGUAAGCGGAAUUCCCGGUGUAGUGGUGAAAUGCGUAGAUAUCGGGAAGAACACCAGUGGCGAAGGCGGCUUACUGGCCAGUAACUGACGCUGAGGUGCGAAAGCCAGGGGAGCGAACC
This 206-nucleotide ribosomal RNA is filed under the name uncultured bacterium. RNAcentral describes it as "partial 16S ribosomal RNA". It matches the Rfam family "Bacterial small subunit ribosomal RNA", at positions 568 to 774 of the family's 1533-position model. The record is from RNAcentral.